This 429-nucleotide ribosomal RNA is filed under the name uncultured bacterium. RNAcentral's name for it is "bacterial SSU rRNA". It matches the Rfam family "Bacterial small subunit ribosomal RNA", at positions 355 to 775 of the family's 1533-position model. The record is from RNAcentral.
UGGGGAAUAUUGGACAAUGGGCGAAAGCCUGAUCCAGCGACGCCGCGUGGGUGAUGAAGGCCUUCGGGUCGUAAAGCCCUGUGGGAAGGAAAGAAAACGUUGCGGGCGAAUAGGCCGCGACCUUGACGGUACCUUCUCAGAAAGCACCGGCUAACUCUGUGCCAGCAGCCGCGGUAAGACAGAGGGUGCAAACGUUGCUCGGAAUUACUGGGCGUAAAGCGCGUGUAGGCGGGUCGGAAAGUCGGGCGUGAAAUCCCUGGGCUCAACCCAGGAACUGCACUCGAAACUUCCGGCCUAGAGUGGUGGAGAGGGAAGUGGAAUUCCUGGUGUAGAGGUGAAAUUCGUAGAUAUCAGGAGGAACACCAGUGGCGAAGGCGGCUUCCUGGACACCAACUGACGCUGAGACGCGAAAGCGUGGGGAGCAAACAG